Molecule: ribosomal RNA, 492 nt
Filed under: uncultured bacterium
Lineage: Bacteria
Description: partial 16S ribosomal RNA
Rfam family: Bacterial small subunit ribosomal RNA
Source: RNAcentral
AGUGAACGCUGGCGGUAGGCCUAACACAUGCAAGUCGAACGGCAGCACAGUAAGAGCUUGCUCUUACGGGUGGCGAGUGGCGGACGGGUGAAGAAUACAUCGGAAUCUACUUUUUCGUGGGGGAUAACGUAGGGAAACUUACGCUAAUACCGCAUACGACCUACGGGUGAAAGCAGGGGAUCUUCGGACCUUGCGCGAUUGAAUGAGCCGAUGUCGGAUUAGCUAGUUGGCGGGGUAAAGGCCCACCAAGGCGACGAUCCGUAGCUGGUCUGAGAGGAUGAUCAGCGACACUGGAAGUGAGACACGGUCCAGACUCCUACGGGAGGCAGCAGUGGGGAAUAUUGGACAAUGGGCGCAAGCCUGAUCCAGCCAUACCGCGUGGGUGAAGAAGGCCUUCGGGUUGUAAAGCCCUUUUGUUGGGAAAGAAAAGCAGCAGGUUAAUACCCCGCUGUUCUGACGGUACCCAAAGAAUAAGCACCGGCUAACUUCGUG